RNAcentral lists this small nucleolar RNA (81 nucleotides) under Aptenodytes forsteri (emperor penguin). Its description in RNAcentral is "Small nucleolar RNA snR60/Z15/Z230/Z193/J17". It matches the Rfam family "Small nucleolar RNA snR60/Z15/Z230/Z193/J17". From Rfam's summary of the family: The members of this family belong to the C/D class of snoRNAs which contain the C (UGAUGA) and D (CUGA) box motifs. Most of the members of the box C/D family function in directing site-specific 2'-O-methylation of substrate RNAs. The family includes the yeast snoRNA snR60 (also known as Z15) and the corresponding human guide snoRNA U80 (SNORD80). Lineage: Eukaryota; Metazoa; Chordata; Aves; Sphenisciformes; Spheniscidae. The record is from Rfam by way of RNAcentral. RNAcentral also lists the same sequence under 1 other name.
CAGAUACAGUGAUGAUGGCAUAGUUCAGCAGAAUAUCAUGUGAAGAAGAAUUUUGUCUUUCGCUCCUAUCUGAUGUAUCUA